CUACCUACGGGGGGCAGCAGUGAGGAAUAUUGGUCAAUGGGAGGAAUCCUGAACCAGCCAUGCCGCGUGGAGGAUGAAGGUUUUCGGAUUGUAAACUCCCUUUGUUAGAGAAGAUAAUGACGGUAUCUAACGAAUAAGCACCGGCUAACUCCGUGCCAGCAGCCGCGGUAAUACGGAGGGUGCAAGCGUUACUCGGAAUCACUGGGCGUAAAGAGCGCGUAGGCGGGAUAGCAAGUCAGAUGUGAAAUCCUAUGGCUUAACCAUAGAAC
This 269-nucleotide ribosomal RNA is filed under the name uncultured bacterium. RNAcentral describes it as "partial 16S ribosomal RNA". It matches the Rfam family "Bacterial small subunit ribosomal RNA", at positions 335 to 621 of the family's 1533-position model. The record is from RNAcentral.